This 432-nucleotide ribosomal RNA is filed under the name uncultured bacterium. RNAcentral's name for it is "partial 16S ribosomal RNA". It matches the Rfam family "Bacterial small subunit ribosomal RNA", at positions 29 to 506 of the family's 1533-position model. The record is from RNAcentral.
AACGAACGCUGGCGGCAGGCCUAACACAUGCAAGUCGAGCGAGGACUUCGGUUCUAGCGGCGGACGGGUGAGUAACGCGUGGGAAUGUGCCCUUCUCUACGGAAUAGCCCUGGGAAACUGGGAGUAAUACCGUAUACGCCCUUUUGGGGAAAGAUUUAUCGGAGAAGGAUCAGCCCGCGUUGGAUUAGGUAGUUGGUGGGGUAAUGGCCUACCAAGCCGACGAUCCAUAGCUGGUUUGAGAGGAUGAUCAGCCACACUGGGACUGAGACACGGCCCAGACUCCUACGGGAGGCAGCAGUGGGGAAUCUUAGACAAUGGGGGCAACCUUGAUCUAGCCAUGCCGCGUGAGUGAUGAAGGCCUUAGGGUUGUAAAGCUCUUUCAGCUGGGAAGAUAAUGACGGUACCAGCAGAAGAAGCCCCGGCUAACUCCGU